This 931-nucleotide ribosomal RNA is filed under the name Socca senicaudata. Its description in RNAcentral is "SSU rRNA". It matches the Rfam family "Eukaryotic small subunit ribosomal RNA", at positions 624 to 1600 of the family's 1831-position model. The record is from RNAcentral. Lineage: Eukaryota; Metazoa; Arthropoda; Arachnida; Araneae; Araneidae.
AAAAGCUCGUAGUUGGAUCUCAGCUCCGGCCGGACGGUCCGCCUACCGGUGGUUACUGUUCGAYGCCGAGCGAUCAGGCGGUUAUUCUUGAUGAUCUUCACCGGUUGUCUCGGGUGACCGCCAAGUUUACUUUGAAAAAAUUAGAGUGCUCAAAGCAGGCGCGACGCCUGAAUAAUUGUGCAUGGAAUAAUGGAAUAGGACCUCGGUUCUAUUUUGUUGGUUUUCGGAACUCGAGGUAAUGAUUAAGAGGGACAGACGGGGGCAUUCGUAUUGCGACGCUAGAGGUGAAAUUCUUGGACCGUCGCAAGACGAACUACUGCGAAAGCAUUUGCCAAGAAUGUUUCCAUUAAUCAAGAACGAAAGUUAGAGGUUCGAAGGCGAUCAGAUACCGCCCUAGUUCURACCAUAAACGAUGUCAGCCAGCAAUCCGCCUGUGUUCCUCAAAYGACACGGCGGGCGGCUUCCGGGAAACCAAAGCUUUUGGGUUCCGGGGGAAGUAUGGUUGCAAAGCUGAAACUUAAAGGAAUUGACGGAAGGGCACCACCAGAAAUGGAGCCUGCGGCUUAAUUUGACUCAACACGGGAAAACUUACCCGGCCCGGACACAGGAAGGAUUGACAGAUUAAGAGCUCUUUCUUGAUUCUGUGGGUGGUGGUGCAUGGCCGUUCUUAGUUGGUGGGGCGACUUGUCUGGUUAAUUCCGAUAACGAACGAGACUCUAGCCUACUAAAUAGACGUUCCGAUCCUCUUUCGUCGGACGUUCUUCUUAGAGGGACAAGCGGCGUUUAGCCGCACGAGACAGAGCAAUAACAGGUCUGGGAUGCCCUUAGAUGUCCGGGGCCGCACGCGCGCUACAUUGAAGGAAUCAACGUGUGCUUUCCCUGUCCGACAGGACUGGGUAACCCGUUGAACCUCCUUCGUGCUGGGGAUUGG